Molecule: ribosomal RNA, 491 nt
Filed under: uncultured bacterium
Lineage: Bacteria
Description: partial 16S ribosomal RNA
Rfam family: Bacterial small subunit ribosomal RNA
Source: RNAcentral
GUGCACGCUGGCGGUAGGCCUAACACAUGCCAGUCGAACGGCAGCACAGUAAGAGCUUGCUCUUACGGGUGGCGAGUGGCGGACGGGUGAGGAAUACAUCGGAAUCUACUUUUUCGUGGGGGAUAACGUAGGGAAACUUACGCUAAUACCGCAUACGACCUACGGGUGAAAGCCGGGGAUCUUCGGACCUUGCGCGAUUGAAUGAGCCGAUGUCGGAUUAGCUAGUUGGCGGGGUAAAGGCCCACCAAGGCGACGAUCCGUAGCUGGUCUGAGAGGAUGAUCAGCCACACUGGAACUGAGACACGGUCCAGACUCCUACGGGAGGCAGCAGUGGGGAAUAUUGGACAAUGGGCGCAAGCCUGAUCCAGCCAUACCGCGUGGGUGAAGAAGGCCUUCGGGUUGUAAAGCCCUUUUGUUGGGAAAGAAAAGCAGCAGGUUAAUACCCCGCUGUUCUGACGGUACCCAAAGAAUAAGCACCGGCUAACUUCGUG